UGCAGAAUAGCUCAGUUGGUUAGAGCAGGCACGUAACAUAAUGAGUAAACCCUUAACAUAUUCUUAUCAACCGUGCGACCUGGUCGUGGGUUCGAGUCCCACUUCUGCAA
This 110-nucleotide transfer RNA is filed under the name Caudoviricetes sp. RNAcentral's name for it is "tRNA-OTHER". It matches the Rfam family "tRNA". Rfam says of the family: Transfer RNA (tRNA) molecules are approximately 80 nucleotides in length. Their secondary structure includes four short double-helical elements and three loops (D, anti-codon, and T loops). The record is from RNAcentral. Lineage: Duplodnaviria; Heunggongvirae; Uroviricota; Caudoviricetes.